Molecule: long non-coding RNA, 3815 nt
Filed under: Populus tremula
Lineage: Eukaryota; Viridiplantae; Streptophyta; Magnoliopsida; Malpighiales; Salicaceae
Description: long non-coding RNA (PTRE_LNC000998)
Source: RNAcentral
UAGAACUUACAAAUUGUCUGAGAAAGAAAGUAGGCUUCGCAGAGAUAGUGAGUGUAGCAGCUGUGGGGGAAAAGAAAGAAGAGAAGAAACCGGAGGCAGUGGUGCAGCCGUUUAUUUGGCCCAUGUACGGUGGAGGCGUGCCUCAGACCUAUAUCCAUCCGAUUCACCCCCCCAACUAUUAUCAGGACCCUUCUUGCUCCAUCAUGUAAUUAACAAACAGGAUAGCCAGAUGCAGAGAGAGUUCAUUUAUCUUGUAGAACAUGCUGCUGUUCCAUGUCUGAAAGGGGGGAGAUAGAAGAUCGGCUUCAUGUCUUCUUCCAUGUGUAAACAAAGCUUCUUUGGUUGUAUCAACUUGUCAUUUUACAGGAGUGAUAGAUUUUGAUAUUGGGUGAGCAAAGAACAUGGUGAUUCAGUCGUUAUUCAACACAAGAAUAAAAAUAAAAUAAAAAUAAAAAUUGAGACACUAUACUAUGAAAUUCAGUCACCAUUAAUUAUCAACUUGUGAAUUUUAAUCCAACAUUUAUUGCUUUCUGGGCUCCAUGGCGCAUCUUCUCCUCUUCUUUUUGUAUCCAUUAAAGAAAGUCAAAUAGCAAUCACAUCAGGCUAUGCAUAUUACACUGCAUGUCACUGUUUAGUAUUCAAUGAAUCUUUUAACACAUUAGACAUAAAGAAUAAAGUGAAAACGAUUGCAGAUUAAAAUUAAGUUUCAUGGCUGGGUUCAGAUUUUAACCGGAUUAUUUAAAUUAAUUCUAAUUUUUUAAAAAAAUUAAAAUGAUAUUGUGUUAAUAACAAAAAAUAAAUGAUCAAUAGGUUGCAAUUAAAUUUUUAUCAUAGUUUUACUAGGUCAUUCUGGAUUUUAAUUUUUUCUUUUUUUUUUUAAAUCCAACCCAGUUCUAGCUCUGAAUUCGAGAUCAUCAAUUAUGUCUGGCUCGGCUGGGUUUCAUAGCUAUUAUUAAUGGGCUUUUCAAGAAAAAUAAGAAAUACAAUAAAUAAAAAUAAAACUCGGGCUGGGUUUCAUAGCUAUUAUGAAUAGGCUUUUCUAGAAAAAUAAAAAAUACAAUAAAUCGAAUACCCUUUUAUUCCAUGUCAAAUGUCAAGAGGUAAAUACUCUUUUAAUUGUAUUGUGAAAGAUAAGAGAAUUCAUGUUAAUGAUUAUUGUAAACAACUUGUAAGUUUUUAACCGUUUUCUUUUAACAACAUGUAUCCCUUCCGAUCAGACACUAUUAUCAAUGCACAUAGUUUAGUUUUGUAGUAGUUAAUGUGUUAAUUUCAAACAUAAAAAAAUACUAGUACUAUCGAUGUGUGUUUUUUCUAUAUUUUCAUACCCUAAUUUUGAUCUCUCAAAUUUUUCAAAAUUUUUCAAAAAUAUUUUAUUAAAAAAAACCAUAAAUUCAAAAUUUAAAAAUAUAUGUUUUGAGACCAUAAACAAGCAAGAACAAUCUACAAGUGGUUACGACAUCACGUGGACAUGUAAUUUAAGGGCAUCGCUAAAGAAACUUAAGAAAAAUUAUUUUUUUUAUUUUUUUUAAUUAAUAUUUUUUUAUUGUUUUUUAUAUUAUUUUGAUGCGUUUAUUUUAAAAAUAAAAAAAAUAUCAUUUUAAUUUAAUUUUUUAUGUUUUUAAAUUGUUUUAAUGUAAUUAUGUUAAAAUAAAUUUUUUUAAAAUUUUUUGUAAUAAAAAAUACUUUAAUAUAUAUAUAUAUAUAUAUAUAUAUAUAUAUAUAUAUAUAUAGAGAGAGAGAGAGAGAGAGAAUUAAAAUAGGAAAAAUGGUUGAUAAAUAGCCACGUAAUCUGCUUUUAUUGUGCUUUAUUUUCAUGCUUUCCUGCUGAUUAUUCUCUAGCAUCAUUUUUAUUAGGUGUUAUUAUAUUUUGUUCAGUUUGGUUUUUAUAUAAAAAUAAAUUGAAUAUUUUUUUAAAAAUGAAACCGAUUCGAACCGACAAGUUUUGGUUUGGUUUUUUAGGACAAAAACCGGUUCAAAAGCCUUUUGAAAAACAAUAAUUUUUAUUUUAUUUUUUAUUUUAUUUAAAAUUAAUAUAUUUUUGUUUUUUCAGAUCUUUUGAUGUGCUGAUGUCAAAAAUAAUUUUUUAAAAAUAAAAAAAUUAUCUUGAUGCAUUUCUGAGUGAAAAGCGCUUUGAAAAACAACAUUUACUAUACUUACAAACACCUCUUAACCAAUCAAACCACACAAAGCAAUUUAUCUAAGGUAGGUACUAAUACAUUCCCCGGCUGCAAGCAAUCCUUUACCAUGAAUCUCUAAUAAAACUAGUACACCCAGGUUUUCUUGUAACAUUGAAUCAAAUAACUAAGUAGCAAAUCCAAACAAUAACCCGACAUCGCGUACCCAUCUGCGACAAAAAUUAUUGACUUUAUUAUUAGAGGAUACAUAAAUUUUCUCAAAAUGAACUGUUUUCCAAGUGUUGGGUGUUUAUCACCCAUCAUCACUUUCAUGAAGCGCAUGAAAGAUGAACCGUGGAUAUUCAAUUACCACAAAAACAACAAUAUAUAAUAAGACAUGACUUUGAUGUUCAAACUGAUUCGUUUCUUCCUCAUCAUUUGUCAACUAAAGUAACAUCAACUAUAAGCAGGAUUCAAGUGGUUUGCAAAUAAUAAUAAUAAUAAAAAAAAACACAACAACAACAACCAACUUGUUUUUACUCUGUAAUCGCAAACACAAGCCCUGCAUAGAGAUCAGACCAUGCAGUUUCUUCUAAUAUAUUCCCCACAAAUCUAACAACUUGUCUUAGUUCUUCUACGUUUUCAUUUGUUUUUUCAUUUUGUGAUUAACAUUAACUAGUUCUUCUGAACCUGACUUUUAGAGGGCCCCAUGGGGAAGGUUAGUCCAUUGAUGAGCAGGUCCCCACACGAAAUGCCGUGUGUUUACUUAGUCAAACUGGAAGAAAAACAAAUCGGAAUCAGAGAUUCCUCGAACUUUCACAGAAAUCUCCUCACUCGUGCUCUGACCCAUGCACUCCUAUAUUAAUAGAAAAAACUGCAUCCCAGACUUCCAUCUUCAAAACAAAAAUAGCAUCAAUUCACUCCCUCCUCUGCUUCUUCAAAACCAUCGCUUUUGGUGUCUCCUGAACUGUAAGGAGCUCCUCUUUCCCUACAUAUCAUCAUCUUUCCAACGAUCAAGACCAUGAAGGUAUGAAUUUGUGAUCCGAACACAAGUAUAUUUUUAGCUUGUUCGAAAAAAUAUAAUGUAAAUUGCUUUCUUGUUAUUGAUUAAUUAUGCUAAAUUAUUGCAGCAAAAGAUAGUGAUCAAGGUGACGGUGAAUGGACCGAAGUCCCGCUCCAAAUGCUUGCAGAUUGCAGUUGGGUUUUCAGGUAAACAAAACCUUCCAUGCACACAAGUUUUAGAACUGCAAUACCUAAUAGAAACCAUGAAUUUGUGGGCAAAUUCAGAUGAUCAAUAUGUUGACGGGCUUGUGUUUUUCUGUGAUUCUGUAGGUGUUGAAUCUGCUGGUUUAGGAGGGAAAGAUAAGAGCCAGAUAGAGGUGGUAGGCGUUGGAGUUGAUGCAGUAGAACUUACAAAUUGUCUGAGAAAGAAAGUAGGCUUCGCAGAGAUAGUGAGUGUAGCAGCUGUGGGGGAAAAGAAAGAAGAGAAGAAACCGGAGGCAGUGGUGCAGCCGUUUAUUUGGCCCAUGUACGGUGGAGGCGUGCCUCAGACCUAUAUCCAUCCGAUCCACCCCCCCCAACUAUUAUCAGGACCCUUCUUGCUCCAUCAUGUAAUUAACAAACAGGAUAGCCAGAUGCAGAGAGAGUUCAUUUAUCUUGUAGAACAUGCUGCUGAUCCAUGUCUGAAAGGGGGGAGAUAGA